This is a long non-coding RNA of Apis florea (little honeybee), 914 nucleotides long. The record is from RefSeq and is a predicted model, not a curated record. NCBI's taxonomy places the organism in Eukaryota, Metazoa, Arthropoda, Insecta, Hymenoptera, Apidae.
GCUUGGACUUCAAAUUUAAUUAUUUUUGACCGCGCGCAAUGCGGUUAUUAGAGUCAGUGUUUGUUGCGUAAUAGUAUUUCUGAUAUUUUUUAGAGCACAAUAGCUCACAAAUUUGAUUAUAAUAAUUAUACGCGAAAGUAGAAUCAGUGCUUGUACGCCGAUUAUUCAACAUGAACGGACGUGUUAAUAGCUUCUUAUUUUUAUUUUUUUUUUAUUAAAUUUUCGUUUUCGGUACAGGUUAGAGUCAGUGCUUCUCUCAUCAAUAUAAGCGAUCAUCCAUCAUGCGAAGAGAUGCUGAUAACUGAUUGGACUUCAAAUUUAAUUAUUUUUGACCGCGCGCAAUGCGGUUAUUAGAGUCAGUGUUUGCUUCGUCAUAGUAUUUUAAAUAUUUUUUAGAGCACAAUAGCUCUGAUUAAAUUUAAUUAUAAUAAUCAAACGCGAAGAUAGAAUCAGUGUUUGUUCGCCGAUUAUAAUUUAUACUGACACGUUAAUAGUUCCUUAUUUUUUAUUUUUUUUUAUUUUUAAAUAUUCGUUUUCGGUACAGGGUAGAGUCAGUGUUUUUCUCAAGAGAAUAAGGCGAUCAUCCAUCACGCGAAGAGAUUUCUUCCAUUCUCUCCUACCUGAUGACUUCUCGAUGAUUUCUGGGCUACAAUAACAGUGAGGGGAUUCGUCGCAUCGUAUGGUGAGUCGCAUGUUUUUUGGUUCCUCCGGUCAUUCAACCAUGUCGUAGGAUGAAAGAUCCGAAUCGACACGAGUGAUUGGUUGUAUACGUAGAAAUUUUGCACGAGCACAGUGACCGCGGGUAUUUAUUAUACUCGUGAGUAGUAACAUUGCUUUUUUGUGUGUUUUAUUUAUUAGAUUAGGAUAGGUUUUCUUGCACAUCGCGUUUUUAAUAAAAUAAUAUUGAUUUUAUA